AGUGAACGCUGGCGGUAGGCCUAACACGUGCAAGUCGAACGGCAGCACAGUAAGAGCUUGCUCUUACGGGUGGCGAGUGGCGGACGGGUGAGGAAUACAUCGGAAUCUACUUUUUCGUGGGGGAUAACGUAGGGAAACUUACGCUAAUACCGCAUACGACCUACGGGUGAAAGCAGGGGAUCUUCGGACCUUGCGCGAUUGAAUGAGCCGAUGUCGGAUUAGCUAGUUGGCGGGGUAAAGGCCCACCAAGGCGACGAUCCGUAGCUGGUCUGAGAGGAUGAUCAGCCACACUGGAACUGAGACACGGCCCAGACUCCUACGGGAGGCAGCAGUGGGGAAUAUUGGACAAUGGGCGUAAGCCUGAUCCAGCCAUACCGCGUGGGUGAAGAAGGCCUUCGGGUUGUAAAGCCCUUUUGUUGGGAAAGAAAAGCAGCAGGUUAAUACCCCGCUGUUCUGACGGUACCCAAAGAAUAAGCACCGGCUAACUUCGUG
Molecule: ribosomal RNA, 492 nt
Filed under: uncultured bacterium
Lineage: Bacteria
Description: partial 16S ribosomal RNA
Rfam family: Bacterial small subunit ribosomal RNA
Source: RNAcentral